CUAAUAAGGGCCGCAGUCAAAAGGGAAACAGCCCAGACCAUCAGCUAAGGUCCCAAAAUGUAUGCUAAGUGGAAAAGGAUGUGGAGAUGUACAGACAACUAGGAGGUUGGCUCAGAAGCAGCCAUCCUUUAAAGAGUGCGUAACAGCUCACUAGUCGAAUGACUCUGCGCCGAUAAUUUACCGGGGCUAAGCAUACUACCGAAGCUAUGGAUCCCAAGGGAUGGUAGGGGAGCGUUCCAUGAACGGAGAAGUACGACCGAAAGGACGUGUGGAGAUCAUGGAAGAGAGAAUGCCGGUGUGAGUAGCGGAACGUGGGUGAGAAUCCCACGCACCGAAAACCCAAGGUUUCCAGAGGAAGGUUCGUCCGCUCUGGGUAAGUCGGGACCUAAGGCGAGGCCGAAAGGCGUAGUCGAUGGACAACAGGUAGAGAUUCCUGUACCCGUAUAUAUGUGAAGGAAUGACGGAGAGAGGAAGCUGCAGCCAGCGGCUGGAAGAGCUGGUGCAAGCGAGAUAUCGGGAUGGCAGGCAAAUCCACCAUCCGAAACGAGAAGGCGUGAAGCGUACGGAAAGCUACGGCGAGUACGGAAGGCAGUGGAGGAACUUCCAAGAAAAGUUUCUAACGUUAAGUAUAUAUGGCCCGUACCGAAAAUGGACACACAUGGGUGAGGAGAGAAUCCUAAGGUGAGCGAGAGAACUAUAGCUAAGGAACUCUGCAAAAUGACUCCGUAACUUAGGGAGAAGGAGUGCUCAUAGAGAUAUGAGCCGCAGUGAAACGGCCCAAGCGACUGUUUACCAAAAACACAGGACUCUGCAGAAGGCGAGAGCCGACGUAUAGGGUCUGACGCCUGCCCGGUGCCGGAAGGUCACGCGGAGGGGUUAGCGCGAGCGAAGCCCCGAGGCCAAGCCCCGGUAAACGGCGGCCGUAACUAUAACGGUCCUAAGGUAGCGAAAUUCCUUGUCGGGUAAGUUCCGACCUGCACGAAAGGCGCAACGACUUGGGCGCUGUCUCGACCAUGGACCCGGUGAAAUUGCACUGGUCGUGAAGAUGCGACUUACCCGCGGAAGGACGGAAAGACCCCGUGAACCUUCACUGCAGCUUGGCAUUGGCCGCUGGUCCCGCGUGUAGAGGAUAGGCAGGAGGCAUCGAUCCGGAGGCGCCAGCCCCCGGGGAGCCGCCCUUGGAAUACUGCCCUCGCGCGACCGGCGUCCUAACCCGAGGCCGUCAACCGGCUCGGGGACCGUGCCAGGCGGGCAGUUUGACUGGGGCGGUCGCCUCCUAAAGGGUAACGGAGGCGCGCGAAGGUCCGCUCGGGACGGUCGGCAACCGUCCUCAUGAGUGCAAGAGCGUAAGCGGGCUUGACUGCGAGGCAGACACGCCGAGCAGGUGCGAAAGCAGGCUCUAGUGAUCCGGCGGCCCCGCGUGGGUGGGCCGUCGCUCAACGGAUAAAAGGUACUCCGGGGAUAACAGGCUGA
This 1473-nucleotide ribosomal RNA is filed under the name human gut metagenome. Its description in RNAcentral is "bacterial LSU rRNA". It matches the Rfam family "Bacterial large subunit ribosomal RNA", at positions 995 to 2485 of the family's 2925-position model. The record is from RNAcentral.